ACAAGACUGGGGACUGGGAUAGCUUUGUAACAAAUAGAGGAUGUCUGGAAAAGUGAAGAGAUUAUAAAAAUACCUGAAUAUGUUUGUCACUUCCUUUAUGAAGACCUUCUUGAACACACAUGAAGUCGAAGAUGCUCCAUUCUGGGUCCCUUCAGAAAGGCCUCAGUGUAUCUCUGUUCUGGCACCAACACUCUCCAUCACUAUGCCAUGAAUGUGGGUACAAACCUCUCCUGCUGCACCAUAGGCUUCUGGAAGCAGGGAUUGUUCAUAGCUAUCAUUGUGUCAGCAAAAUCUCUCACCAUGAAUGACACCAAGCAGUUAUGAACAAAUGCCUGAUGAGUGGCUGGAAAGUUUUCAUUCUUUACUGGUUUAAGAAAUAUUAAUUUAUUGGUUUGUUUGUUUAAAAUAUUUGUUGGCACUUUGCAGAUGCCACUUCCACUGAUGUCACCACUGCCA
Molecule: long non-coding RNA, 456 nt
Filed under: Homo sapiens (human)
Lineage: Eukaryota; Metazoa; Chordata; Mammalia; Primates; Hominidae
Description: non-protein coding lnc-CDH5-5:1
Source: RNAcentral